GACAGAGGGGGCAAGCGUUGCUCGGAAUUACUGGGCGUAAAGGGCGCGUAGGCGGCCUGUUAAGUCGAACGUGAAAUCCCCGGGCUCAACCCGGGAACUGCGUCCGAUACUGGCAGGCUUGAAUCCGGGAGAGGGAUGCGGAAUUCCAGGUGUAGCGGUGAAAUGCGUAGAUAUCUGGAGGAACACCGGUGGCGAAGGCGGCAUCCUGGACCGGUAUUGACGCUGAGGCGCGAAAGCCAGGGGAGCAAACGGG
RNAcentral lists this ribosomal RNA (253 nucleotides) under uncultured bacterium. RNAcentral describes it as "partial 16S ribosomal RNA". It matches the Rfam family "Bacterial small subunit ribosomal RNA", at positions 524 to 776 of the family's 1533-position model. The record is from RNAcentral.